This 2754-nucleotide long non-coding RNA is filed under the name Marmota monax (woodchuck). Lineage: Eukaryota; Metazoa; Chordata; Mammalia; Rodentia; Sciuridae. The record is from RNAcentral.
GCUAAAUUCCAAAGACCUGGAGGUCCCAGGCCUGAGAAGCACUUGUGGCUGAGGGAUCUGUGUUUUUUUGUUUAUUUUUUUGUUGAUGUUUGGGUAGUGGGGAUUGAAUCUAGGGGUGCUUAAAUACUGAGUCGCAUCCCCAGCCCUUUUUAUUUAGAGACAGGGGCUCACUAUGUUGCUCAGGGCCUUGCUAAAUUGCUGAGGCCUGCUUUGAACUUGCAAUUCUCCUGCUUUAGCUUCCCGAGCUGCUGGGAUUACAGGUGUGCCUCACUGCCCCUGGCGGGAUUUUGUGUUUUCGAGGGCCUAAUUACAGCAUGCGUGUGUACACACCUCAAGAACAGCAGAAGGUUGAAGCUAGGACAUUCGCUAGCCCAACAAUAUCUCAUUUUCCAGAAGUCAUAAAACUUGGUCAGAUCCUCAAAAUGAGUGGCUACCUGCUUUUGGGAAGGGAUUGCCCAACAUUUGGUGCCAUUAGCUGUAGCUGUUAAGUCUCGGUAGCCAGCCUUCUCCUUCAGCGCAGAGGAGAACGAGGCAAUUCUGGUCCCUGCUCAUGUGCCCCUGUGCUCAGCUCCAAAUCUGUCACCAUGAAGUUCAGCUCACCCAGGAUGCUUCUCCCCCAUCACAGCCUCCUCAGAGACAGCAUCACAGUGAUGAGGUCAAUUGGGAUCAGAGGAGGCUCUUCCCCAUUUCCCAAAGGCAUCUUGGGCAAGAAGGUGACAUGUGACAGUGCAGCAGAUUGUCCAGUUGGAGGGGCAGUGCCCAAAUCUGUGGCUGGAGAUCAACAUGCUAAGUGAAUGAAGGAACAAAUGAUCAAAUACACAAUCACCUCCUGCUUCACUUGCAGGGACUACUGGAAGUGGCCGUUUGCAUUAUUCUGGAAUGCUGGUAAUUGCUUCCUCUUGGUACCCUACAGCUACAAUAGAUUUUUUCCUCCAUAAUUAUAAUUUCAGCAAAUUUUUGCAAUUGUCAAAUCCUGCAUUUUCCAAGCACUCCAGCUCUGUUCCCUGUCGAGCGGACGCCUUGUGUUGGGUGGUUAAUUCAGCCUCAGUUCUCACUCUGGUGCCAACUCCAAGAACUCUUUACCGGGCGGAUUUAUGAUGGAUGCCAUCUGGUCUGAUAGAAGGAAACAGAUAUUGAUUUUUAAUAUUUUCUCCCAACUUGUUUACUGUAGGAUAAUACAGCAGCCGUGUGGCAGCUUGUCUCAGAGUGGAAAGGAUUAUUACCACUGCCUUUUGAUGAGAUAAAUUACCCAGGAUGACUUGAAUGGCUAGAGGGUAUACUUUGAUGUUAUGUCGCUUCAUUUACCCUUAUGACUAAAUGAUUAUUGAUUUUAUAUUUUUAAGCUCUUGAAACGUGAAAAUAAGUUGGUGGAGAAGCCCGGCUGUGUUAGUUUUAUUAAUUUAUUUCUGCAGGGCAUAAUUCACUUUGGGCCAGGUUGUGAAGGGUUUGGGUUCAUGACCGGCUGCAGAUACAGUUGCAAAGAAAUGGCUUAUUUAUAUAGUCAUUGCAAGUAGUCCCAAAAUCAAUACAGUCUGGGAUUGGAUGAUUAAACUCAGUCCCUUUGUGGGAUUCAUUCCUGUAGCUGCUGCCGAAAUCAUCUUGACUGCACCAGAUUCAUGUGAUCAAGUCUACAAAUAGCAAGUUUGUUCAAGUUGAAAUAUUAUUUUUUUGCUCAUCUUUUUUUUUAUCUGUUCUCUUCACUCAAUGACAUUUUAACAGGCUCGAGAGAAAAAAAAAAGGCUGAUUGACUCCUUCAAUGACAUUAGGAAUCUGCAUUCACAGAGCAGCCACUGAGGACUGAGAGAAUGCCCACGGGUGGAUUUGUGCAGACUUUGGACAGAGGCCCCAGGCUGAGCUGGGUUCUGUCCUGGGCAUUCCCAAGGGCAGACAGCCGGAGUCCAGGGUGCAGGCAGGGCACAGUGUGCAGGCCACAGCCCUGCCAUUCCUGGUCCACACGGCCUUGCCUGAUGGGUUGGUGUCCUGCCCCAUUUGGCUGAGGCAGGCCUGGGCCACCCCCUCUCGGCUAUUCCCAGAUUUCACAGAAAACUGGAUUUUUUUUUCACAAUUUCUCCCAAUUUAUUUCCAUAGAUUUUAAAAUAUAAUUCCUCGUGUCACAUCUAUUCCUUCUUAAUAAAAUUUAGUUCAAUUACUGAGACUCUCAAGUUCAGUGUUUGGAUUCGGAAGUCGGCUUGUUCAUAGGACCCUCACUGUUCCCUGCACAGCACCGACAGCAUGGGGUUGCUGUGGGGAGAGGUGAGCGGGAGGCCAGAACCAGCCCACACCCAGGACUCAUGGUGGGGAAGGCUUUAAUUGUAUUUCCGCAAUUUUCAGUCACAAAAUGCCCCUCCCUGGACCUUCACCCCAGCCCCAGCCAGAGGCUUUCAGCGAAAUGCACUCAUGGGUCUUGUCCUGAGAUGUUACUGUAAAGCACACAACUUCAGGUGGGCUCCCAUGUGAAGCUCGCUUAAGAUGAGGCUGCGUGUUAGAACACAAGACCCGUUUACGUGAGCCAGCCAUUCUGUCCACACGAGAAGUGGCUAUAAGGCAUUUCAUUCUCAAGACAGGACUUCUCAGUGUUGUAAGUAGUGACAGCAUGUUUUUAUGGAGUGAAAAAAGGUGUAAAACACCUUUUCUUACUUUAGUCAGUAUGUAUGUAUAAUUAAUAUGCAGUAAAUUAUACAGCUCCAGUUUAAAGCUUGUUUAAAUGCAUAGAAUUGGAAGUAGAAUGAAGAAAUAAAAUAACUUUUGGAGCAG